UUCUUAUUCUUCCACUCCCCGGGACUAGAAACCCAACUCUUUGAACCUUCAAAACGACUUUUCUUGUUCUGCCCCCAUUGGUGAUGUCUUUCACCAGUAUUACCAUCUCCACUAGGUGAAUCCCACCCAGACAAGCUCGCAGGUUGAGUUUCUGUCUCAGGAGGAUUUUUCUGCCCCCAAGAACUGGUAGAAAUUUCGGAAGAUUUUUUCUGUUGCCCACUAGACCAAGCAUUGUCAUUCCCUGAUUCUGUUUCCCCAGAUGAAACAGCACCCCAAGGUUGAGUUUCUAUCACAGGAGGAUUUUUCUGCCCCCAAGAACUGGUCGAAAUUUCAGAAGACUUUUUCUGUUGCCCACUAGACCAAGCCUUGUCAUUCCCUGUUUCUGUUUCCCCAUAAGAAACAGCACCCCAAGGUUGAGUUUCUGUCUCAGGAGGAUUUUUCUGCCCCCAAGAACUGGUCGAAAUUUCAGAAGACUUUUUCUGCUGCCCACUAGACCAAGCAUUGGCAUUCCCUGUUUCUGUUUCCCCAGAAGAAACAGCACCCCAAGGUUGAGUUUCUGUCUCAGGAGGAUUUUUCUGCCCCCAAGAACUGGUCGAAAUUUCAGAAGACUUUUUCUGUUGCCCACUAGACCAAGCAUUUUUCUGCCCCCAAGAACUGGUAGAAAUUUCAGAAGAUUUUUUCUGUUGCCCACUGGACCAAGCAUUGUCAUUCCCUGUUUCUGUUUCCCCAGAAGAAACAGCACCCCAAG
RNAcentral lists this long non-coding RNA (748 nucleotides) under Malus domestica (apple). RNAcentral describes it as "long non-coding RNA (MDOM_LNC002204)". Lineage: Eukaryota; Viridiplantae; Streptophyta; Magnoliopsida; Rosales; Rosaceae. The record is from RNAcentral.